Molecule: transfer RNA, 73 nt
Filed under: Arthrobacter sp. zg-Y1110
Lineage: Bacteria; Bacillati; Actinomycetota; Actinomycetes; Micrococcales; Micrococcaceae
Description: tRNA-Ala
Rfam family: tRNA
About the family: Transfer RNA (tRNA) molecules are approximately 80 nucleotides in length. Their secondary structure includes four short double-helical elements and three loops (D, anti-codon, and T loops). Further hydrogen bonds mediate the characteristic L-shaped molecular structure. tRNAs have two regions of fundamental functional importance: the anti-codon, which is responsible for specific mRNA codon recognition, and the 3' end, to which the tRNAs corresponding amino acid is attached (by aminoacyl-tRNA synthetases). tRNAs cope with the degeneracy of the genetic code in two manners: having more than one tRNA (with a specific anti-codon) for a particular amino acid; and 'wobble' base-pairing, i.e. permitting non-standard base-pairing at the 3rd anti-codon position.
Source: RNAcentral
GGGGGCUUAGCUCAGUUGGUAGAGCGCCUGUUUUGCAAACAGGAGGUCGCGGGUUCGAACCCCGCAGUUUCCA